RNAcentral lists this ribosomal RNA (445 nucleotides) under uncultured bacterium. Its description in RNAcentral is "partial 16S ribosomal RNA". It matches the Rfam family "Bacterial small subunit ribosomal RNA", at positions 354 to 796 of the family's 1533-position model. The record is from RNAcentral.
GUGAGGAAUAUUGGUCAAUGGGCGAGAGCCUGAACCAGCCAAGUCGCGUGAAGGAUGAAGGUUUUAUGAAUUGUAAACUUCUUUUGCAGGGGAAUAAAGUACGGUACGUGUACCGUUUUGUAUGUACUCUGCGAAUAAGGAUCGGCUAACUCCGUGCCAGCAGCCGCGGUAAUACGGAGGAUCCAAGCGUUAUCCGGAUUUAUUGGGUUUAAAGGGUGCGCAGGCGGGUUGAUAAGUCAGCGGUGAAAGUUUGCAGCUUAACUGUAAAAUUGCCGUUGAAACUGUCGAGCUUGAGUGCAAAUGAGGUAAGCGGAAUGUGUUGUGUAGCGGUGAAAUGCUUAGAUAUAACACAGAACACCGAUUGCGAAGGCAGCUUACUGGGAUGCAACUGACGCUCAUGCACGAAAGCGUGGGGAUCAAACAGGAUUAGAAACCCCGGUAGUCC